UAAGGGCACGAAAGCCGUGGGGAGCGAACGGGAUUAGAUACCCCGGUAGUCCCACGCCGUAAACUAUGGAUGCUAGCUGUUAGAGGUAUCGACCCCUUUAGUAGCGAAGCUAACGCGUUAAGCAUCCCGCCUGUGGAGUACGAGCGCAAGCUUAAAACAUAAAGGAAUUGACGGGGACCCGCACAAGCGGUGGAGCGUGUUGUUUAAUUCGACGAUAAGCGAAGAACCUUACCCAGGCUUGACAUCCUAGGAAGGUCUCCGAAAGGAGACUGUGCCUUGUGAGCCUAGUGACAGGUGUUGCAUGGCCGUCGUCAGCUCGUGUCGUGAGAUGUUUGGUUAAGUCCAUCAACGAGCGCAACCCUUAUAGUUAGUUGAAUUUUUCUAGCUUGACUGCCCUGGUAACAGGGAGGAAGGAGGGGAUGAUGUCAGGUCAGUAUUACCCUUACGCCUGGGGCCACAAACACGCUACAAUGGCCGGUACAAAGGGCAGCCAACCCGC
This 499-nucleotide ribosomal RNA is filed under the name uncultured bacterium. RNAcentral's name for it is "bacterial SSU rRNA". It matches the Rfam family "Bacterial small subunit ribosomal RNA", at positions 747 to 1258 of the family's 1533-position model. The record is from RNAcentral.